CCCUUAGAUGUCCGGGGCCGCACGCGCGCUACACUGAAGGAAUCAGCGUGGCUUUCUCCCUGACCCGAAAGGGUUGGGAAACCCGUUGAAUCUCCUUCGUGAUAGGGAUUGGGGCUUGAAAUUGUUCCCCAUGAACGAGGAAUUCCCUGUAAGCGCGAGUCAUAAGCUCGCGUUGAUUACGUCCCUGCCCUUUGUACACACCGCCCGUCGCUACUACCGAUUGAACGGUUUAGUGAGGGCCUCGGAUUGGUCUCGGCCCGCUCUUUACCGGGCGGCGCCGUUGGUCGAGAAGACGCUCGAACUUGAUCGUUUAGAGGAAGUAAAAGUCGUAACA
Molecule: ribosomal RNA, 334 nt
Filed under: uncultured eukaryote
Lineage: Eukaryota
Description: partial 18S ribosomal RNA
Rfam family: Eukaryotic small subunit ribosomal RNA
Source: RNAcentral